GGGCGGGCUCUGUGCGGCGGGGCGCCGUGAACCAUGUCAGGCGGGGAACCGAGCAGCAUUAAGCGGAGUUGCUCCGUGCGACGCAGUUAAGUCUGUUCGUC
Molecule: non-coding RNA, 101 nt
Organism: Clostridium sp. W14A
Lineage: Bacteria; Bacillati; Bacillota; Clostridia; Eubacteriales; Clostridiaceae
Source: Rfam